GGCCAGUGGUGGGUAGGGGCAGGGUGGGACCAUUGCUCAGCAGGGCGGCCUCUGCCCCCGCUCCCUCUCCAGUGGCAGGGCAGCGCCCUGGGGAAGCACCCAGAGAUGGGAUCCCAGCCUUAGCCUGAGGCCAUGUCUGUAAAGGGGAUUUCGCUCACUGCCUUCUCCUUGGCACGCAGCUGCUGGUGCUGCCAUGCAGAGCUUUGCUUCCCAGCUCUGGCUUUCCCAGGCACAGGGCUUGCUGAAAGGAAUCAGCUGGGAUGCACCCUCCUGAUUUUAUUCAGGCAUGCCAAGAGCUACCGCAAAGAGAAGAAAACAGGGUGUCUCUUAACUCUACUUUCCUGGGGCUGGCAGUGGGCUGGAAGCUGAGACCUGCCCAUCCGCCUGGUGCUUGUGAGCAAGGCUCCCUCACACGCUGUUUUGAUCCAGGUAUUGGACAGAGCAGCUUUUGUGCAGAGAUUUGCAGAACUUGUUUGUCUGCUGUUCUACUUCAGUGGAAGUUGAAACAGGUGUGCUGGAGCCACUGUGUUCAUUGCAUUUUUUUUUUUUUUUCUGGUUCAUAUUCCUGUGCACUAGUUUAUUUUGCGAUGUUCCUUAUUUCAGGUUGGGAGUAACCUUCCUGCCCUCAGGACAUAUUGAAUUGUUGCUGAAUGUUCCCAAGUGGAUUUUUCCAAAUCACUAGGAAAGAAGAAGUUCAACAGCAAAGUUGGUGGUUGGUUCAGGAGUGUAUCUGAGCAGUUUGAGCUUAUAAUUUGUGAUGCAUACUUUCUGGUUUCAGCCGUGAGACUAGCCUCUCUCAUGAUAUUUUUUUUUUGGUCUUCUACCCCCAGCUGAGAGCAGGAAAUGCACAGGGCACACUCAGUGUGAAGGCGAUCCAGCAAGGCUAGUUAGAUGAACUUUCCUAAGGGGCUUUUUGAGGGAUAGAAAGAAGUAGCUUAGGAACACAGGAGACCUGAAAGGCCAUUUUUCUCUUUUCUUUCUCUCUUCUCCUGCUGGCAUGAGAGAAAACUGAGAGUCCCUCACCUUCCCUUUGCUGCACAGCAGGGUGGAAGACACUUCUUCACAGAAUGAACAAAGAGGCAGGAAGACAAAAAUAAACAGCUGAGCCAUUGCUGCA
Molecule: long non-coding RNA, 1117 nt
Filed under: Anas platyrhynchos platyrhynchos (common mallard)
Lineage: Eukaryota; Metazoa; Chordata; Aves; Anseriformes; Anatidae
Description: lncRNA (ENSAPLG00000016777.1)
Source: RNAcentral